GAUGAACGCUGGCGGCGUGCCUAACACAUGCAAGUCGAACGGAGACUACGCGCUGUGCGAGGAAUUAGCUUGCUAAGGAAUCAAACAUGCGUAGACUUAGUGGCGGACGGGUGAGUAACGCGUGGAUAACCUGGUCCAACCAGGGGGAUAGCAGCUGGAAACGGCUGGUAAUACCGCAUAAGCGCACAGAGCGGCAUCGCUCAGUGUGAAAAGGAGAGAUCCGGGAAGGAAUGGAUCCGCGUCUGAUUAGCCAGUUGGCGGGGUAACGGCCCACCAAAGCGACGAUCAGUAGCCGGCCUGAGAGGGCGGACGGCCACAUUGGGACUGAGACACGGCCCAGACUCC
RNAcentral lists this ribosomal RNA (345 nucleotides) under uncultured Butyrivibrio sp. Its description in RNAcentral is "bacterial SSU rRNA". It matches the Rfam family "Bacterial small subunit ribosomal RNA", at positions 28 to 339 of the family's 1533-position model. The record is from RNAcentral. Lineage: Bacteria; Bacillati; Bacillota; Clostridia; Lachnospirales; Lachnospiraceae.